UGAGCGUGAUUUCCAUCCAAUGCCGCUGUGCCUCAUAGUCACCAAACUUGGGGGGAUUGCCGGCGCCAGAGUAUGGAUGGAGUGAUACAGUUGCUCGAACUAACAACCCAAACACAGCAAUACACAGGAAUGANNNNNNNNNUGAACAAACCACCAGCACAAAUCAUCAUCAUCGUUAACAGCAUCUGCCUUGUCUUUUAGCACCUUCUUUUUCCCCUUUUUCUCCAUUUAUGUUUCUCUCUAGUCUCGCCUGGUUACAAUGAACAUUAAGAAACCAUCUUUAUCAAGAGUCUGAAAAUCAGCAUUCAAAAG
RNAcentral lists this unclassified non-coding RNA (312 nucleotides) under Hevea brasiliensis (rubber tree). Lineage: Eukaryota; Viridiplantae; Streptophyta; Magnoliopsida; Malpighiales; Euphorbiaceae. The record is from RNAcentral.